Molecule: unclassified non-coding RNA, 321 nt
Gene: 7SK
Rfam family: 7SK RNA
About the family: 7SK was discovered as an abundant small nuclear RNA in the mid-70s but a possible function has only recently been suggested. Two independent studies have found that 7SK RNA binds the CDK9/cyclin T complex (known as elongation factor P-TEFb).
Source: Ensembl
GGAUGUGAGGGCGAUCUGGCUGCGACAUCUGUCACCCCAUUGAUCGCUAGGUUUGAUUUCGGCUGAUCUGGCUGGCUAGGCGGGUGUCCCCUUCCUCCCUCACCGCUCCAUGUGUGUCCCUCCCGAAGCCCAGCGCUCGGUGGCAGAGGACGAGGUCCCCCCCGGCGGACGACCAUCCAUCGGUGUACCAGUAGCUACGCUCCCCUGCUAGAACCUCCAAACAAGCUCAAGGCCCAUUUGUAGGAGAAACGUAGGGAAGUUAAGCUCCAAGCGUCAGGCACAUCCAAAUGAGGCGCUGCACGUGGCAGUCUGCCUUCCUUU